RNAcentral lists this transfer RNA (73 nucleotides) under Ictidomys tridecemlineatus (thirteen-lined ground squirrel). Its description in RNAcentral is "Spermophilus tridecemlineatus (thirteen-lined ground squirrel) tRNA". It matches the Rfam family "tRNA". From Rfam's summary of the family: Transfer RNA (tRNA) molecules are approximately 80 nucleotides in length. Their secondary structure includes four short double-helical elements and three loops (D, anti-codon, and T loops). Lineage: Eukaryota; Metazoa; Chordata; Mammalia; Rodentia; Sciuridae. The record is from Rfam by way of RNAcentral.
GGGGAUAUAGCUCAGCUGGUAGAGUGCUUGCAUUCUAAGCAUUGGACCCUGGGUAUAAUUCCCAGUACCACCA